CCUACGGGGGGCAGCAGUGGGGAAUAUUGCACAAUGGGCGCAAGCCUGAUGCAGCCAUGCCGCGUGUGUGAAGAAGGCCUUCGGGUUGUAAAGCACUUUCAGCGGGGAGGAAGGCGGUGAGGUUAAUAACCUCAUCGAUUGACGUUACCCGCAGAAGAAGCACCGGCUAACUCCGUGCCAGCAGCCGCGGUAAUACGGAGGGUGCAAGCGUUAAUCGGAAUUACUGGGCGUAAAGCGCACGCAGGCGGUCUGUCAAGUCGGAUGUGAAAUCCCCGGGCUCAACCUGGGAACUGCAUUCGAAACUGGCAGGCUAGAGUCUUGUAGAGGGGGGUAGAAUUCCAGGUGUAGCGGUGAAAUGCGUAGAGAUCUGGAGGAAUACCGGUGGCGAAGGCGGCCCCCUGGACAAAGACUGACGCUCAGGUGCGAAAGCGUGGGGAGCAAACCGGAUUAGAUACCCCUGUAGUC
Molecule: ribosomal RNA, 465 nt
Filed under: uncultured Klebsiella sp.
Lineage: Bacteria; Pseudomonadati; Pseudomonadota; Gammaproteobacteria; Enterobacterales; Enterobacteriaceae
Description: bacterial SSU rRNA
Rfam family: Bacterial small subunit ribosomal RNA
Source: RNAcentral